AAGAAAGUAAGAAAGGGCGUAUGGCGGAUGCCUAGGCUCACGGAGGCGAUGAAGGACGUGAUAAGCUGCGAUAAGCUUCGGGUAGGUGCAAAUAACCCUUGAUCCGAAGAUUUCCGAAUGGGACAACCUAGCCGUCUGAAGGACGGUUACUCUUACCAAGUAAGAGAGCUAACGCAGGGAACUGAAACAUCUUAGUACCUGCAGGAAGAGAAAAUAAAUGAAUGAUUCCCCCAGUAGUGGCGAGCGAACGGGGAACAGCCCAAACCAGUGGCGUCGCAAGGCGUGGCUGGGGUUGUAGGACCGCGACAUUGUAUGCAAAUCGUGAACAGAACACUUUGGAAAAUGUGACCAUAGACGGUGAUAGUCCAGUAUGUGAAGCGAAAUGCAGCAUAGCGGUAUCCUGAGUAACGCGGGACACGAGGAAUCCUGCGCGAAUCUGCCGGGACCAUCCGGUAAGGCUAAAUACUCCCGUGAGACCGAUAGCGAACGAGUACUGUGAAGGAAAGGUGAAAAGAACCCCGAGCAGGGGAGUGAAAUAGUUCCUGAAACCAUACGCCUACAAGCGGUCGGAGCAUCUUACGAUGUGACGGCGUGCCUUUUGCAUAAUGAUCCUACGAGUUACCGUCACUGGCGAGGUUGAGUGUCACGAGACACGUAGCCGCAGUGAAAGCGAGCCUGAAGAGGGCGCACAGUCAGUGGGGGUAGACGCGAAACCAAGUGAUCUACACUUGGCCAGGAUGAAGUCCCGGUAACACGGGAUGGAGGUCCGCACCAAUAAGCGUUGAAAAGCUUCUGGAUGAGCCGAGUGUAGGAGUGAAAGGCCAAUCAAACUUGGAGAUAGCUCGUACUCCCCGAAAGGCAUUUAGGUGCCGCGUCGGAUGGUCACCGUGAGAGGUAGAGCGACCGAUAGGACAAGAGGGCUUCACCGCCUAUCGAGUCCUGACGAACUCCGAAUGCUCACGGUCUGCAGUCCGGCAGUAAGGGGGCGGGUGCUAAGGUCCGUCCCCGAGAGGAGAAGAAUCCAGACCGCCGUCUAAGGUCCCGGAGUUCUGCCUGAGUUAGUCUAACGAAGUCUGGUCCCUAUGACAGCUAGGAUGUUGGCUUGGAAGCAGCCAUUCAUUCAAAGAGUGCGUAACAGCUCACUAGUCGAGGGUCCGGGCAUGGAUAAUAAUCGGGUAUAAGGCAGACACCGAAGGCGCGGGAUAGCAAUUAUAAAAGUAUCGGUAGGGGAGCAUACUCACAGCGUCGAAUGGUGUACGUAAGUUAUCCUGGAGCGGUGAGUAAAGCAAAUGUAGGAAUAAGUAACGAUAAGGAGGGUUAGAUUCCCUCCCGCUGUAAGACCAAGGUUUCCCGGGCAAUGCCAAUCAGCCCGGGGUCAGUCGGGUCCUAAGUCUAAGCCGAACGGCGAUGGCGAUGGCAGAGACGGUUAAUAUUCCGUCACUGCCGCAUGGGGCGAUGUGGAGACGGAGCAGUGAAACCACCGCGGGGCGACGGAAGUCCCCGUUGAAG
This 1509-nucleotide ribosomal RNA is filed under the name Segatella copri. Its description in RNAcentral is "partial 23S ribosomal RNA". It matches the Rfam family "Bacterial large subunit ribosomal RNA", at positions 1 to 1516 of the family's 2925-position model. The record is from RNAcentral. Lineage: Bacteria; Pseudomonadati; Bacteroidota; Bacteroidia; Bacteroidales; Prevotellaceae.